Scomber japonicus (chub mackerel) is the source of this 664-nucleotide long non-coding RNA. RefSeq lists it as uncharacterized. NCBI's taxonomy places the organism in Eukaryota, Metazoa, Chordata, Actinopteri, Scombriformes, Scombridae. The transcript is spliced from 3 exons. The record is from RefSeq and is a predicted model, not a curated record.
CUGACUGAGAGGACAAUUCAGUUCGGUGCUCACAGAGGAGGUGUGAGCAAUUAUUUCUCCACCAUAACCAUAUCAUGCUGUUAUAUGUCCCCUUCCUGAAAGUCUACAGUCUUCCUCAUGCCCAUCAGUCCCUGGUUGAGAGAACUCAACGAGCAGAACACUGACCGUCAUGUUAUUAAACGACAGGACACAGCAGAUUCGUCAACAGCAACUAUUUGCAGAGCUUAAAAGAGAAACACAGAUUCAGAAUGAGAGAGAGAGAGCUUAACAAAUCUUAGCCUGACUCACCAACAAGGACACGAACAUAAUCUAUAGGGAUAUAUACGAGAGACUCAGAGACUUGAAGAAUCCUUGACAAGAAGCCAUUUCUUUUGGCUUAUGAUGGAUGAGCACCAAAUAACUUAUUGUCUAUUCUAUUUGGUUGUGCAUAUUCUCUUGAUUUUACUUUAUUUUAUUUAUUUUGUUUUGUUGUGUGUUAGUCACUUUCUUGUCUGUUUGCCUACAUACUGUAUUUCUAUCUUUCCAGGCAUUUGGUCUCUUGACAUUUUCUAAGGUGUACAAGUCAACAUAUAGUUUGUUCACAUAGCUCAUAUGUUAAUACACACACACACACACACACACACACACACACACACACACACACACAAACACACACACACACACA